UACGGGGGAUGCAAGCGUUAUCCGGAUUUAUUGGGUUUAAAGGGUGCGUAGGCGGGAUGCCAAGUCAGCGGUAAAAAUGCGGUGCUCAACGCCGUCGAGCCGUUGAAACUGGCGUUCUUGAGUGGGCGAGAAGUAUGCGGAAUGCGUGGUGUAGCGGUGAAAUGCAUAGAUAUCACGCAGAACUCCGAUUGCGAAGGCAGCAUACCGGCGCCCUACUGACGCUGAGGCACGAAAGCGUGGGUAUCGAACAGG
RNAcentral lists this ribosomal RNA (252 nucleotides) under uncultured bacterium. RNAcentral describes it as "partial 16S ribosomal RNA". It matches the Rfam family "Bacterial small subunit ribosomal RNA", at positions 524 to 776 of the family's 1533-position model. The record is from RNAcentral.